RNAcentral lists this ribosomal RNA (201 nucleotides) under uncultured bacterium. RNAcentral's name for it is "partial 16S ribosomal RNA". It matches the Rfam family "Bacterial small subunit ribosomal RNA", at positions 1300 to 1500 of the family's 1533-position model. The record is from RNAcentral.
GUAGGCUGAAAUUCGCCUACAUGAAGCCGGAAUUGCUAGUAAUGGCAGGUCAGCAUACUGCCGUGAAUACGUUCCCGGGCCUUGUACACACCGCCCGUCACACCAUGAGAGUUGGGGAUACCCGAAGCCUGUGAGCCAACUAUAUAGAGGCAGCAGUCGAAGGUAGAAUCAAUGAUUGGGGUGAAGUCGUAACAAGGUAGC